CACGUAGUUAGCCGGUGCUUAUUCUGCGGGUACCGUCAUCGAACCGUGGUAUUGGCACAGUCCUUUUCGUUCCCGCCAAAAGUGCUUUACAACCCGAAGGCCUUCAUCACACACGCGGCAUUGCUGGAUCAGGCUUUCGCCCAUUGUCCAAAAUUCCCCAUGCUGCCUCCCGUAGGAGUCUGGGCCGUGUCUCAGUCCCAGUGUGGCUGGUCGUCCUCUCAGACCAGCUACAGAUCGUCGCCUUGGUACGGCCUUUACCCCACCAACUAGCUAAUCUGCCAUCGGCCGCUCCAAUAGCGCGAGGUCCGAAGACUCCCCCGCUUUCACCCUCAGGUCGUAUGCGGUAUUAAUCCGGCUUUCGCCGAGCUAUCCCCCACUACUGGGCACGUUCCGAUGUAUUACUCCACCCGUUCGCCACUCGCCGCCAGGCCGAAGCCCCGCGCUGCCCGUUCGACUUGCAUGUGUAAAGCAUGCCCGCCAAGCCGUUACAACUCCGUAGACG
Molecule: ribosomal RNA, 502 nt
Filed under: uncultured Comamonadaceae bacterium
Lineage: Bacteria; Pseudomonadati; Pseudomonadota; Betaproteobacteria; Burkholderiales; Comamonadaceae
Description: partial 16S ribosomal RNA
Source: RNAcentral